UGGGGAAUUUUGGACAAUGGGCGAAAGCCUGAUCCAGCAAUGCCGCGUGUGUGAAGAAGGCCCUCGGGUUGUAAAGCACUUUUGUCCGGAAAGAAAUCCUUGGCUCUAAUACAGUCGGGGGAUGACGGUACCGGAAGAAUAAGCACCGGCUAACUACGUGCCAGCAGCCGCGGUAAUACGUAGGGUGCAAGCGUUAAUCGGAAUUACUGGGCGUAAAGCGUGCGCAGGCGGUUUGCUAAGACCGAUGUGAAAUCCCCGGGCUCAACCUGGGAACUGCAUUGGUGACUGGCAGGCUAGAGUAUGGCAGAGGGGGGUAGAAUUCCACGUGUAGCAGUGAAAUGCGUAGAGAUGUGGAGGAAUACCGAUGGCGAAGGCAGCCCCCUGGGCCAAAUACUGACGCUCAUGCACGAAAGCGUGGGGAGCAAACAGGAUUAGAUACCCUGGUAGUCCACGCCCUAAACGAUGUCAACUAGUUGUUGGGGAUUCAUUUCCUUAGUAACGUAGCUAACGCGUGAAGUUGACCGCCUGGGGAGUACGGUCGCAAGAUUAAAACUCAAAUGAAUUGACGGGGUCAUAGCUGUUUCC
Molecule: ribosomal RNA, 585 nt
Filed under: uncultured bacterium
Lineage: Bacteria
Description: partial 16S ribosomal RNA
Rfam family: Bacterial small subunit ribosomal RNA
Source: RNAcentral